This 507-nucleotide ribosomal RNA is filed under the name uncultured bacterium. Its description in RNAcentral is "bacterial SSU rRNA". It matches the Rfam family "Bacterial small subunit ribosomal RNA", at positions 28 to 521 of the family's 1533-position model. The record is from RNAcentral.
GAUGAACGCUAGCGACAGGCUUAACACAUGCAAGUCGAGGGGCAUCACGGGUAGCAAUAUCUGGUGGCGACCGGCGAACGGGUGAGUAACGCGUAUGCAACCUACUUGUAAACGGGAGACAACCUGGAGAAAUUUUGGGCUAAACUUCCAUGAGGCAUUAUUACUGCAUGGUAAUGAUGUCAAACGUAAGGUUUACAAAUGGGCAUGCGUAUGAUUAGCUAGUUGGUAGGGUAAUAGCCUACCAAGGCGACGAUCAUUAGGGGUUCUGAGAGGAAGGUCCCCCACAUUGGAACUGAGAUACGGUCCAAACUCCUACGGGGAGGCAGCAGUGAGGAAUAUUGGGCAAUGGGCGGAAGCCUGACCCCAGCCAUGCCGCGUGAAGGAAGACGGCCUUUAUGGGGUUUGUAAACUUUCUUUUACUAUGCGACUAACUAGAUUUUACGAGAUAAUUCUAUAGAAUGUAGCAUAGCAAAAGCACCGGCUAACUCCGUGUCCCAGCAGCCCGAC